AUCUCUGGCCAUGCUACCCUGAAUGUGCCCGAUCUCAUAUGAUCUCGGAAGCUAAACAGGGUCGGGCCUGGUUAGUACUUGGAUGGGAGACCACCUAGGAAUAUCAGGUGCUGUAGGCA
This 119-nucleotide ribosomal RNA is filed under the name Pteropus alecto (black flying fox). Lineage: Eukaryota; Metazoa; Chordata; Mammalia; Chiroptera; Pteropodidae. The record is from RNAcentral.